AUUGAACGCUGGCGGCAGGCCUAACACAUGCAAGUCGAACGGUAACACGAUACGGCUUUCUGUUUCGCUGACGAGUGGCGGGCGGGUGAGACAUGUCUAUCAAACUCCCUGAUUUCGGGGGAUAUCUCGUGGAAACGGUUACUACUACAUCAUAACGUCGCAAGCCCAGAGAGGGGGGGAUUCUGGCCUCUUGCCCUCGUGUAUGCCCAGAUGGGAUUUGCUAGUAGGUGGGGUAACGGCUCACCUAGUCGACGAUCUGUAGCGGGUCUGAGAGGAUGACCAGCCACACUGGAACUGAGACACGGUCCAGACUCCUACGGGAGGCAGCAGUGGGGAAUAUUGCACAAUGGGCGCAAGCCUGAUGCAGCCAUGCCGCGUGUAUGAAGAAGGCCUUCGGGUUGUAAAGUACUUUUAGCGGGGAGGAAGGGAGUAAAGUUAAUACCUAGACUGAUUGACGGUACCCGAAGAAGAAGCACCGGCUAACUCCGUG
Molecule: ribosomal RNA, 490 nt
Filed under: uncultured bacterium
Lineage: Bacteria
Description: partial 16S ribosomal RNA
Rfam family: Bacterial small subunit ribosomal RNA
Source: RNAcentral